This 1194-nucleotide long non-coding RNA is filed under the name Salmo trutta (river trout). Its description in RNAcentral is "lncRNA (ENSSTUG00000032400.1)". Lineage: Eukaryota; Metazoa; Chordata; Actinopteri; Salmoniformes; Salmonidae. The record is from RNAcentral.
CGGGGGGGAUGCUACAUGUCGGGGGGGAUGCUACAUGUCGGGGGAUGCUACAUGUCGGGGGAUGCUACAUGCAAGGACAUAUUGUUCUGUCUCACGAUGAAACGGCACGGGGGAUGUUCCGUGUGCUGCGUGGCUAUAUCGCCGAAAAACAGAUUCCAUACGGGGUCGAAUGGCUUUUCCACAGAUGGGGCUCCAUCUAUGGCGGGAUGGCGAGCAGGCCUCUACACUCUAGUCUCCCUCUGCCAUAUGGACACAUUGUAUGAUACACCCACUGAGCAAAAAUGGAUACACCGAGAGCAACUGGCGGGCAAAGAGCUGAGAGCAGAACUCAGAGAUAUACUGCAGCAGGUAACUUUGAUUGUAAACUACAUCGCUCACUCCUGUUCACAAAACUCUGUGGAGAUAUGGGAUCAGAGCAUGACAAUGUUCUAUUUCACACCGAGGCUUGGUGGUUAUCGAGGGGAAGUGGUGGAAAGAUGUUUCUAAUUGAGAGGAGAACUGUCAUUCGCAGUGGAUGUGGUGGUGAGAUAAGAGACAUUAUGUCAGACUCUUUUACAGUUGACUGUCAUAGCCCCACAUUCAAAAAGUAAACAUUGGCUGUUAAUUACAGAAUUUUUGUUCACAUGGUUGGGGUCGUGAGAAUUGUCAGAUAUCAAAAUGGGGUCGUGGGCCAAAAUACUUUGGGAAUCCCUGAACCCUCGCGCCUCCUCCACCUUCUCUAUUUUCAUCUCUCCUUCUCCUCUCGUUUCUCAGCUGCCGUCCAGCCGGUUCAGGUUCGCGUCCUGGCAGCGGCUUGAGGAGAGUGAUGUCAGAGGAGACCAGCUCUCCUGUCCCAGGGUCAGAGAAGGGCCGUCAGAGGAUAACCUCUUUCUGAGAGAGGAUGACAUCCCCUUAGAAAGGGGAGGGAGGAGGAGGAGAAGGAGGCAGGAGGAGGAAGGACAGAGGUGGGAGGAGAGGCUUCAAGAGAACUGGGAGAACUGUGUGGUGAGAGACAUACUGUACUGUGUGUGUGUGUGUGUGUGUGUGUGUGUGUGUGUGUGUGUGUGUGUGUGUGUGUGUGUGUGUGUGUGUGUGUGUGUGUGUGCGCGCACCUGCUUGUGUGUGUUGCUUGUGUGUGUUGUGUGUCUGUUCGCGUUGACACACACCUCAGUAACCCUCUCCCUGUGGUCCCUGUGGUCCCUGGUAUUCCUGGUA